CCCUGGCCUGGCAAUCACGCUUCUAGUCGCCUUGUCUGAUAAGGCCCUCCUCACACCCAGGAAUUCUGGGCUUGUUCCGACGAAGGAGAUGGGAGUGGGGCCAGGUAGCCACGUGGAGGGAGCUGGGACUUGCCUCCACUGCGGGGGGUGGGGGUGGGGGGAAGGGCCACAGCUCGAUGAUGCCGGAGUCCUGUGUCCCUGAGCCUGCAUUUCUAGAGAGCCACCUCCUCUGUGAUGUGCCUGUUCCCUGGUCCGUGCAUGAGGAGAGGGCACGUGAAUUGCCUGAGGAGGACGGAGUUUGAUGGGGAGGAGAGAAGAAGCAAGGCAGUCAACAGAUUGAGCUGGGCACCAUGCAUAGCCAUGCCGACCCAGAUGCAAGGUGGGAGAGCCUGGUGCUGUGCACACGAGGGAUGGCCCCUCUGAAGGCUGAGGGGGUCCGAGGUUCUUGGAUGCCCUUCAGCAUUCUCUCGUCCAGGCCCCAACCCUCUGGGCUGCUCCCCGCUGUUGAACAAAGCAUCUUCCUAACCCUCAGAGGUACAAGAAGACCCAGGAGACCGAAGACGCCAGGCCACCGCAUGUCGGCAGUCCAGUCUCCUCACUUGACUCUUGCACUGGUCUGAUAGAAUGGCCACCACACCCCCAUGCCAGGCUUCUGACGCCCCCCUGUCCUCCAGGGGUCCCAAGCCAGAUGGAGACCAUCCGCAUAUCCCCCGUGGUCUAGCUACGCCGCGGCUGGAAUUAUUUCCCAAGAAUUUGAUAGGAAAGUGUAAGAAAGGCAGAACUCUUCAAUAAGAGAAUACAAGAGCCAUCAGAGCUCAACUCCCUUAUUUGAGUCCAGCCACAGACUGGUGUGGCCGGCAGGAGUUCUAGUUCUGCGGCUUGAUCGCAGAACAUGAGGGGACUGGGUUCUGUUCUCUGUUCGCCCGGGUCCCGGCAUGCCCGGCCUCUUACAGGUGUUGGAUGAAUAAAUGAACGGAUUGCCGGCAGA
Molecule: long non-coding RNA, 988 nt
Organism: Neofelis nebulosa (Clouded leopard)
Lineage: Eukaryota; Metazoa; Chordata; Mammalia; Carnivora; Felidae
Exons: 2
Source: RefSeq, a predicted model, not a curated record